Molecule: ribosomal RNA, 414 nt
Filed under: uncultured bacterium
Lineage: Bacteria
Description: partial 16S ribosomal RNA
Rfam family: Bacterial small subunit ribosomal RNA
Source: RNAcentral
UGGGGAAUUUUGGACAAUGGGCGAAAGCCUGAUCCAGCAAUGCCGCGUGUGUGAAGAAGGCCUUCGGGUUGUAAAGCACUUUUGUCCGGAAAGAAAUCCUUGGCUCUAAUACAGUCGGGGGAUGACGGUACCGGAAGAAUAAGCACCGGCUAACUACGUGCCAGCAGCCGCGGUAAUACGUAGGGUGCAAGCGUUAAUCGGAAUUACUGGGCGUAAAGCGUGCGCAGGCGGUUUGCUAAGACCGAUGUGAAAUCCCCGGGCUCAACCUGGGAACUGCAUUGGUGACUGGCAGGCUAGAGUAUGGCAGAGGGGGGUAAAUUCCACGUGUAGCAGUGAAAUGCGUAGAGAUGUGGAGGAAUACCGAUGGCGAAGGCAGCCCCCUGGCAAGUACUGACGCUCAUGCACGAAAAGCGU